GAUGAACGCUGGCGGCGUGCCUAAUACAUGCAAGUCGAGCGAACGGACGAGAAGCCUGCUUCUCUGAUGUUAGCGGCGGACGGGUGAGUAACACGUGGAUAACCUCCCUAUAAGACUGGGAUAACUUCGGGAAACCGGAGCUAAUACCGGAUAAUAUUUUGAACCGCAUGGUUCAAAAGUGAAAGACGGUCUUGCUGUCACUUAUAGAUGGAUCCGCGCUGCAUUAGCUAGUUGGUAAGGUAACGGCUUACCAAGGCAACGAUGCAUAGCCGACCUGUGAGGGUGAUCGGCCGCACUGGAACUGGAACGCGGUCCAGACUACUGCGGGACGCAGCAGUAGGGAAUCGUCCGCAAUAGGCGAAAACCUGACGGAGCAACGCCACGUGUGUGAUGAAGGUCUUCGGAUCGUAAUACUCUGUUAUUAGGGAAGAACAUAUGUGUAAGUAACUGUGCACAGCUUGACGGUACCUAAUCAGAAAGCCACGGCUAACUACGUG
This 497-nucleotide ribosomal RNA is filed under the name uncultured bacterium. RNAcentral describes it as "partial 16S ribosomal RNA". It matches the Rfam family "Bacterial small subunit ribosomal RNA", at positions 28 to 507 of the family's 1533-position model. The record is from RNAcentral.